This 73-nucleotide transfer RNA is filed under the name Ailuropoda melanoleuca (giant panda). It matches the Rfam family "tRNA". Rfam says of the family: Transfer RNA (tRNA) molecules are approximately 80 nucleotides in length. Their secondary structure includes four short double-helical elements and three loops (D, anti-codon, and T loops). Lineage: Eukaryota; Metazoa; Chordata; Mammalia; Carnivora; Ursidae. The record is from Rfam by way of RNAcentral.
GCCUGGCUGGCUCAGUCAGUAGAGCAUGGGGCUCUUAAUCUCAGGGUUGUGGGUUCAAGUCCCACAUUGGGUG